Bubalus bubalis (water buffalo) is the source of this 2870-nucleotide long non-coding RNA. RefSeq lists it as uncharacterized. Lineage: Eukaryota; Metazoa; Chordata; Mammalia; Artiodactyla; Bovidae. The transcript has 2 exons. The record is from RefSeq and is a predicted model, not a curated record.
UUCCCAACCCAGGGGUCAAACCCAGGUCUCCUGCAUUGCAGGCGGAUUCUACACCAUCUGAGCCACCGGGGAAGCCUUUUGUAAAAGUUUUUCUAGUUUCUCAAUACUGGGAGGUCCCUCAUGCACUUGUUAAUAAGCUUCUUUUCUCCUGCUAAUCUUGCUACUGUUAGUUUUCUGGCCUUCAGCUAUUAGACCUGAUUUGGAAGAGGAAUAAGUUUUUCCUCCCAAAGCUUUCUUUGGAAUGUCUUUCAUAGGAUCUCAGACCAGAGGAGUCACCCCUAUACUGUCCGCUCCACCCAGUGGCCAUAGCUCAGGUUCUGAGCCCUUGAGCAUGGACCCCAAGUACUAAGGGAUUAUAUCUCCCUUUCUUACCAGUGAAUUAGGACUUGGGAAAUAGAUUUCAACUAAUACCUAAUGAACAAAUAAAUUGCUCAAAAGAAAUCUUCAGGAAUAUUCAGUGAAAUUGGAUUUUGGAAACUAAAAAAGUGUCGUGCUGCUGCUGCUGCUAUAAUCCUAAACAGAUGAAAAAGAAAAUGAGAUUAAUCCCCACCCCCAAACCUCUUCAGGAUUCUAGAGUCAUCCAAGAGGAAUUCCCUGCUAAAAGCUGUAAUGCCUUGGAAUAUUUUCUAGACCUCUUCACUGUCAAUGAAAAAUGAGUCAAUCUAAGAAAAAAACGGAAAACUUUAUUCCGGCUGAAUUUGAGGAUCAGCGGGGCUCAGAAAAUAAAGAAUGCCCCUGCAAUGCAGGAGACCCAACUUUGAUCCCUGGGUCAGGAAGAUCCUCUGGAGAAGGAAAUGAGAACCCACUCCAGUAUUCUUGCCUGGAGAUCCCAUGGACAGAGAAGCCUGGCAAAGAGUUGGACAUGACAAAAGCAACUCAUACACACGUACAAGACUAACCUUGGCUCCUGUGACCCCUUACAAGAUCUCAAAGUAAUCCUCUUUUUUUGUUGUUUUGUUUGCCUUGCUGCAAGACUUGCAGGAUCUUAGUUCCCCACCAGGAAUCAAAUUCAUGCCCCUCGCAGUGGACGUGUAAUCAUAGCCACUGGACCCCUGGGGAAUUUCCUCAGCUUCAAAUUUAACAGUUCAUCCUGUAUUUCGCCUGGCAACUCCAGACUGAGGAGCUGAAUUUUUUUUCCCACCUGUUUCUUUUCUUUUUUUAAUUGAAAUAAAAUUGAUUUACAAUGUUGUGCUAAUUUCUGCUGUACAACAAAAUGACUAAGUUAUACAUAUAUAUAAAUUUUUUAAGUAUUCUUUUCCCUUAUGGUUUAUCUCAGGAUACUGAAUACAAUUCCCUGUGCUAUUCAGUAGGACCUUGUGAGGAGCUGAAUUCUUAAUUAAUUAAAUUUUAAAGAGCUACACAUGGCUAAUGGUUAUUGUGUUGGAAACACAGAGUUGAUGGUAAAAAUGAGUCCAGAGAGCAGAUAACAGGACCUAAUUAUUGAGAUGAUUUCCAGGGCUGAGUAGAGAGGUCCUUCAUGGCCCAUCCCUUCCCUCCCUUAUCUCCAAAUCUACAUCACUGUAGCAUGUUCUCUCUCUCUCUCUCUUUUUUUUUUCUUAAAGUACAUCAUCAGUAAAACCCAUCUGAGUGUAGAAUCCUAGAAUAAAUGGUAUGGUUCUGAGUGUUUAACCGUGCAGGUUCUGGAACAAGUAUUAAAAAAAAAAAUCCAUUGGACACUUGUUAAAAGUUGGUGAAGACUUGGGAAUUCUCAGGUGGUCCAGUGAUUAGGACUCCAUGCUUUGGUCCUUGCCCCCCACACCGUAUCUUCUGCCUGCCUUUUGCCCGUGGAAGACUUUAGUCAAAGAAUAAGUGUGAUCAGAGAAGGAGAAAUGCUGAAACAAACGAAAACAAUUAAAGCAGACUAAAUAACAAUGUAGUCAUUCAACAUAGUCAAGGACCUUUAGUUCCCUCUCAAGAGCUAUGGACAAUAUUCUGAGCCGUAUCUGUGAGCUGUGUAUAGAUACCAAAGCAGCAGGUGGAGAAGUUAACUACAGGGCGACCGGACUGCACCCUGGACAUGAGCUGCCACAAUUCAGAGAAUUGACUGGAAAGAAAUGGGAACAAAUGGGCCCUGAAACUGAAGGUUAACUGUACCUAACACAAUCAAGUUGAUGCUGCUCAGACCACUGAUGACCAAUUUGAAGAUGACUGUUGGAGAGGACUGUGCUGUUUCCACGUGUAGCCCCCCUCCCCCUGUCUAUAAAAGCUCUCACCCCCUUCUUGAGGUGGGGUGGAGUCGGCUUUUGGGUCGAUGUCCACCACCCUCCCCCAACCUAGUUGCCAGCAUCUGAAAUAAAGCAAACUUUCCUUUCCACCAACCUGGCCUGAUUAUUUGCUUUUGAGUGGCAGGCAGCCAGACCCCACACACGCUUUUGGUAACACUUUUUGCUGAGGGCUCAGGUUCAAUUCCUGGUCAGGGAACUAAGAUCCCACAAGUGGCACAGUGCAGCCAAAAAAGGGUACAGAUGAUCAACUGCAAGUUGGCACUUGACUCUACGAGGGUUAAAUCGUGAGCUGUGGCAGCUGUUGCCCUUCAAAGGAGCUCACAGAAAGGAGGCAUGUUGUGCUCAGUGGAAAAACUGGCAGGACAGGUCUUCAGAAAUUUAGAUAUUUUCAGGAACUGAUUUUAUGAGCCCAAUUCUUGUAUCUCCUCAUAUCUAGGAAAGCACUAAAAUCCUUUUUGGUGAUAUCUGCUCCUCCUCGUGAUUAGCAGAAACCUUCUGCAGAAGAAAAAAAAAAAAAAAGAAGUGCUUGAUUGCAUAACUUCUCUUCCCAAAAAUCACAUACAGACUGACCUUCCCCCUGCCUCUCUGGAGCUGUUUCUCAGAGCUAUCUGAGGUCUGUCUCUAGACUGCAGUCCUCAUUUUGUC